GAUGAACGCUGGCGGCGUGCCUAAUACAUGCAAGUCGAGCGAACAGACGAGGAGCUUGCUCCUCUGACGUUAGCGGCGGACGGGUGAGUAACACGUGGAUAACCUACCUAUAAGACUGGGAUAACUUCGGGAAACCGGAGCUAAUACCGGAUAAUAUAUUGAACCGCAUGGUUCAAUAGUGAAAGACGGUUUUGCUGUCACUUAUAGAGGGAUCCGCGCCGCAUUAGCUAGUUGGUAAGGUAACGGCUUACCAAGGCGACGAUGCGUAGCCGACCUGAGAGGGUGAUCGGCCACCCUGGAACUGCGCCACGGUCCAGACUCCUACGGGAGGCAGCAGUAGGGAAUCUUCCGCAAUGGGCGAAAGCCUGACGGAGCAACGCCGCGUGAGUGAUGAAGGUCUUCGGAUCGUAAAACUCUGUUAUUAGGGAAGAACAAAUGUGUAAGUAACUAUGCACGUCUUGACGGUACCUAAUCAGAAAGCCACGGCUAACUACGUG
This 497-nucleotide ribosomal RNA is filed under the name uncultured bacterium. RNAcentral's name for it is "partial 16S ribosomal RNA". It matches the Rfam family "Bacterial small subunit ribosomal RNA", at positions 28 to 507 of the family's 1533-position model. The record is from RNAcentral.